Molecule: ribosomal RNA, 425 nt
Filed under: Brucella melitensis
Lineage: Bacteria; Pseudomonadati; Pseudomonadota; Alphaproteobacteria; Hyphomicrobiales; Brucellaceae
Also listed under: 2 other names
Description: partial 16S ribosomal RNA
Rfam family: Bacterial small subunit ribosomal RNA
Source: RNAcentral
GGAAUUUUGGACAAUGGGCGAAAGCCUGAUCCAGCAAUGCCGCGUGCAGGAUGAAGGCCUUCGGGUUGUAAACUGCUUUUGUACGGAACGAAAAAGCUCCUUCUAAUACAGGGGGCCCAUGACGGUACCGUAAGAAUAAGCACCGGCUAACUACGUGCCAGCAGCCGCGGUAAUACGUAGGGUGCGAGCGUUAAUCGGAAUUACUGGGCGUAAAGCGUGCGCAGGCGGUUAUGUAAGACAGAUGUGAAAUCCCCGGGCUCAACCUGGGAACUGCAUUUGUGACUGCAUGGCUAGAGUACGGUAGAGGGGGAUGGAAUUCCGCGUGUAGCAGUGAAAUGCGUAGAUAUGCGGAGGAACACCGAUGGCGAAGGCAAUCCCCUGGACCUGUACUGACGCUCAUGCACGAAAGCGUGGGGAGCAAACAG